RNAcentral lists this non-coding RNA (184 nucleotides) under Desulfuromonas sp. RNAcentral describes it as "6S RNA". It matches the Rfam family "6S / SsrS RNA". Rfam says of the family: E. coli 6S RNA was the first non coding RNA to be sequenced, but its function was unknown until recently. It consists of 184 nucleotides that fold into an extended hairpin structure with a large single-stranded internal bulge. The 6S RNA specifically associates with RNA polymerase holoenzyme containing the sigma70 specificity factor. Lineage: Bacteria; Pseudomonadati; Thermodesulfobacteriota; Desulfuromonadia; Desulfuromonadales; Desulfuromonadaceae. The record is from RNAcentral.
CAUUCUCUGGGAUGUUCGAUUUGCGGCCUUGGGGGGUUGACCAACAGACCGCAAGCUUGAGACCUCGGCCAAAAUCGCGGUGAGCCAGCCCACCUCCGAGUGGGACGCCUGAAGUGAUUUUCAGAGGCAGACGAUAAAUUCAAGGUCAAAACCGCAAGAAGGAGAACGGCAUCCCGGAGCGAAA